Ornithodoros turicata is the source of this 3729-nucleotide long non-coding RNA. RefSeq lists it as uncharacterized. The transcript has 2 exons. The record is from RefSeq and is a predicted model, not a curated record. NCBI's taxonomy places the organism in Eukaryota, Metazoa, Arthropoda, Arachnida, Ixodida, Argasidae.
GAUAUUAAGCCCCGAAGUUGACGAAAUUGGCCACUUGGCCAUUUCGAGUGCCGUUUUGGAAACAAUUUUGUCAAACGCGACCUCUCAGGGUGCAACAGGGGAACAACGUACGCGGUUCAAACACCGUGAUCUUACUUUCACAUAUACAUACUACAAAAUUAGCGUAGGACAUCUUUAAUAUUAUUUUUAUAUCAAGUGAUAUUAAGCCCCGAAGUUGACGAAAUUGGCCACUUGGCCAUUUCGAGCGCCGUUUUGGAAACGAUUUUGUCAAACGCGACCUCUCAGGGUGCAACAGGAGAACAAGAUACGGGGUUCAAACCCCGUGAUCUUACUUUCACAUAUACAUACUACAAAAUUAGCGUAGGACAUAUUUAAUAUUAUUUUUAUAUCAAGUGAUAUUAAGCCCCGAAGUUGACGAAAUUGGCCACUUGGCCAUUUCGAGUGCCGUUUUGGAAACAAUUUUGUCAAACGCAACCUCUCAGGGUGCAACAGGGGAACAACGUACGGGGUUCAAACACCGUAAUCUUACUUUCACAUGUACAUACUACGAAAUUAGCUUAGGACGCUUUUUUGCUUCGCGAGUGUCGUUUUGAAAGCAGUUUCUUCAAACGCGACCUCUCCAUGUACGCCCUUUCACCAGGAUUAAAGGGGCUUCGCACGUUUUAACGGGCUCGAUCUGCUGCCGAACGUUGCGGUAGCCUCUGUUACAAUCCCAGUACAAGCCGUUCAUAGAAUCUUUUUGGCACCAUGAUACAUAUCAUUUGAGUCAUUGUAAAGGGCCCUGCUGCCGCAUUUUCCAAAUUUUGCGGUGGUUUCCGAUGCAAUCACAGGAGAGGGGCAUAACAUAGGCCGUCAUGUCUUUGUAUGUGUGUAAAAUGUCUGUCACCAUGAUUAAAGGGGUUUUUUUUUGGUUUUAAAGGGCUCUGCUGCAACCUUUCAUGGAGUUUGCGGCCGCAUCCGUUAUAAUUCCAGUAGGAUGACAAUAGCAUAAGCCGGUACGUAUACUUAUAUGACUUUGGAACUAUGACACAAGGGAUAUCGACCGUUUUAAAGUGCUCUGCUGCCGCGUUUUCCGUAUUUUGCGGUAGUCUCUGUUACAAUCCCAGUAGAAGGGCAUAGCACAAGCCAUUGAUGACAUGUCAUCGGCAGCAUGGGGUGUCGCCCGUUUUGAAGGGCUAUGCUGCAUCCUUUUCCGAUAUUUGCGGUCGCCUGUGUUAUGAUCUCGGUGGAAUGACAUAGUAUAAGUUGUUGAUAAUAGGUCUUUGGCAGCAUGACACAAGGGGUUUUGCUCAUUUAAGAGGGCUCUGCUGCCACGUUUUCCGAAUUUGGCGAUCGCCUGUGUUAUAACUCCAGCAGCCACACAAGCCACUGAUAACUUUCUUUCUUUCACUCGAUGAUACAGGGAGUGUCGCACGUUUUGAAAAGGCCUUGCUGCCGCCGUAUCCAAAUUUUGCGGUCUCCUCUUGCGCAAUUCCGGUAGAAAGGCAUAGCGCAAGCCGUCAUGAAUAUGCUUUUGGUACCAUGAUACAAGGGGUUUUGUACGUUUUAAAGGACCCUGCUGCUGCCUUUUCCGAAUUUUGUGGUCGCUUCUGUUGCAAUCCCUGUAGAAGAGCAUCAUAAGCCGCUGAUAAUAUCUGCUUGGAACCAUGUUUAAAGAGGUUUCGUCCGUUCUAAAGGGCUCUGCUGCGGUCUUUUACGGAUUUUGCGGUCGCCUCCGUUACAAUCCCAGUGGGAAGUGCAAUAGCAUAAGCCGCCUCGAAUAUGCCUUUGGCACCAUGACACAGAGGGUUUUGCCCGUUUUAGAGGGCUCUGCUGGCGCUUUUUUCAAAGUUUGCGGUCACCACUGUUAAUAUCCCAGUACAAGGGCCUAGUAUAAGUCGUUGAUAAUGGCUUCGCUAUGCAGAAUACACCAGUGACUCUUUGUGGUGUAUUCCUUGGUUGCCCCUGCCAUCGUCGGGGUUGCAAAAAGGUUACUUUUUACUUUUCUCAAAGAAGUUGGCAAGUAAUGCAAUGUUUCAGAAGGAGACUGUGGGUUAUUUCUUGCAGGUCGACGUGUAAGUCUCCACUUGUCUCCACUAUUACUUCUCAAUUAUCAUAUUACUUACAGUGUAGUUUAUCAAAAUGCACGUUCAGACCAGAUCGGUAUAACUACUUGUUGAGGUUCCUGAGUCAUAAGAACUGCUCGAAUAUGAAUGUACUUCCAAACGUCGACAGGAGCAGCUUCACAUCGAGCAAGGGGGAAAACAAUGCCUGAAAACCUGGUUUCAUUCCGAAUUCUUCAUUAUUGGUGUGUGUGUGUGUGGGGGGGGGGGGCUGCUUUAUUCUAUUUAGUGGUCAAGAGCCCUCCGGGCACAGAAUAGCUGACUGCAAGCCAUGCACAUGCGGCCCGCGUGUGUGAGAGCCCUGAUUACUCUGAUCUAAGCAUUGCUUCGUCUUAAGCGAGAAAUAAAUAAUGUACUCGAGGGCGCGUAGCACUUGUUUAGCGUUAUCUCCAAAUCUGCUUAUGAACAACUGUAUUUUUGACGUUGGGGUGUCUAAUCGCCACCGGCGAUAUUCUACCCUGUUCUAGUUUCUACUUCCCUAUACAGGUUUUAAGUGUUUAUACGUGUUUAAAGGUUCAUGCGAAUUGUGUUCGCAUGGACCUUUAAACACGUCACACCUAACCCUUUAAAUACCAUGCCAAUGAUGAGGACGGUGCCCAGAAGAAGAACAGUCUCUGUUCGAAAUAUCGGCGGCUUCUGUCCUGAGGCAACUCCCUUCCUACAUGUACUCAAUGUACUGCUUGCGACACAUUCGUCUAAUAUCCACAAGCCACGUAAAAGCGGGUUACCGAUUCAAGUUGCUGUGCUACCGUCGUGUUCGCGUCACUCUGUUCCCCUGGUGGCGGCGGGGCUGCGCAGCGCCCCCAGACGGGAGAGAUGGCGAUCUGAUAACCGCGUGUCGUCUGCUAGCUCCAAAUCCGUGGACGGGGCAGCGAUUUCCUCGGAAUGCGGCGUAGAAUGGGAAUUGUUUUCUUUUGUUCCUGUUUACUCUUUUUGAAACGUACUAAGCGAGGAAAGCACUGCCACGUAGACGCGUUUGGAGCUAGCAGAUGACGCACGGUGUGAUACGAUGAGGAUGUGACACGCUCAUGUGUCAUCCCUACGCUGUGCCGAUGAGAGCCAACAAGCUCGAAGCUUCGCUCCCGUAAUACGAUAUCGCCAGUCGAACCGUCGCGAACCAAAAAGAAAGGCCGCAGCUCAGGAAUGCGUGUUUGCUAUAGACCGUUUACAGCAGAGUUAUCUGGGCGCCGCCAUCUUAGCGCACGUGACCUUGCGCGCCACUGCUUGCCUUCUCUUUCGGCUGCUUGUUGGCACGCCGCACGUAGUACGGCGGUGCAACCCAGAGACGCUUUCUCCUAUUUUAAAUUUUUGCAAUGAUUUCCGGAUGGAAGGAUGACACGAGGCUUUGGCCGAAGCUUCAGCGGUCAGAUUUCAGGUGUAUACAACCACAUGAUCAACGAGCUAGAGGGAGACGGAAAGCCUGCGCAGAACUACAGAGAAUUUGCAAAGGGAACGAAGCUGUUUGACAGCGGCCAUGUCGGUGUAUAGUACUGUGCCAGUGCAACGAUGGUGUAUGAAUGGGCCGACAUCAGGUCGAUACAAACAGUGAGAAGAACGUGUAGUACAGAGACUCGCUUCGGGCCCACUUUGGCGGCAACAUGCACAUAUAAAGCGGGUUUGAGCAGCA